CACGCCCAGUGAAUGCACCUGGGCACCGGUACCCUGAGAGCCUAACCAUUAAUACGCUUCAGAGCAGAAGAGGAGGGGGCUGUGAGUCCUGCAAUCCUGUACACUGAACUCUCAAUAAGUGCGCUGGACUCAGAAGGAUUUGCUUUGUUUCCAAGCUAUGAAACCGCUGCUUCUCUGAACCCCAGCAGAGGAAGGACAGCCCACAUGUUUCAUUAAACACAAUGAUUACCCUGCAGCCGCGCUGGAUUCACAAGGGCUUGCUUUGUCUCCAAGCUAUUAAACAGCUGCUCUUCAUACAAGUUUGGCUGCAUGUCUGCGUUGCAGUUACAGUGCCCCGGUCUCCAGUGACGUCACCUCCCGGCAGUGAUGUCACUCUCAGCUGCUCUUUCUCCUAUAAAGCGGGGGCUGAUCUCACCAGAGUGGUGGUUACCUGGG
Acipenser ruthenus (sterlet) is the source of this 435-nucleotide long non-coding RNA. RefSeq lists it as uncharacterized. NCBI's taxonomy places the organism in Eukaryota, Metazoa, Chordata, Actinopteri, Acipenseriformes, Acipenseridae. The record is from RefSeq and is a predicted model, not a curated record. The transcript is spliced from 3 exons.